Molecule: ribosomal RNA, 665 nt
Filed under: Pallidohirschioporus biformis
Lineage: Eukaryota; Fungi; Basidiomycota; Agaricomycetes; Hymenochaetales; Hirschioporaceae
Description: eukaryotic LSU rRNA
Rfam family: 5.8S ribosomal RNA (bases 263-417)
Source: RNAcentral
AAGGAUCAUUAACGAGUUUGAAGUGGGCUUGAUGCUGGCUUGUAACAGAGCACUGUGCUCAGCCCCGCUCCAAUCCAUUCAACCCCUGUGCACUAUUCGGAGUGUUGCAAGCUGAGACAAUGUGGGGAGUGGUCCCGGUUGUAUUUCUANUGCGACUUGGGCUUACUUUCAAACGGUCAAGGCUUGUCCUCCGGUUUAUAUUACAAACACUUUUAUUGUCUUGUCGAAUGUAUUAGCCUCUCGUUAGGCGAAACUUAAAUACAACUUUCAACAACGGAUCUCUUGGCUCUCGCAUCGAUGAAGAACGCAGCGAAAUGCGAUAAGUAAUGUGAAUUGCAGAAUUCAGUGAAUCAUCGAAUCUUUGAACGCACCUUGCGCUCCUUGGCUAUUCCGAGGAGCAUGCCUGUUUGAGUGUCAUGUUAAUAUCAACUCUGAUGGUUUUUGUUAACCAUUGGAUGUUGGACUUGGAGGUUCGUGCUGGCUGCAAAGUCGGCUCCUCUUGAAUGCAUUAGCUUGGACCUGUGCGCGUUUGCUAGCGGUGUAAUACAUUUUAUUCACCACGGGCCGUGUCACUAUUAAGGGUCUGCUUCUAAUCGUCCUUACCGGACAAUAAUAAACUUUAUGACUCUGACCUCAAAUCAGGUAGGACUACCCGCUGAACUUAA